GGGGGCGUGGCGAAAUUGGUAGACGCACUGGAUUUAGGUUCCAGCGCCGCAAGGUGUAAGAGUUCGAGUCUCUUCGCCCCC
RNAcentral lists this transfer RNA (81 nucleotides) under Acinetobacter baumannii. RNAcentral describes it as "tRNA-Leu". It matches the Rfam family "tRNA". Rfam says of the family: Transfer RNA (tRNA) molecules are approximately 80 nucleotides in length. Their secondary structure includes four short double-helical elements and three loops (D, anti-codon, and T loops). Further hydrogen bonds mediate the characteristic L-shaped molecular structure. tRNAs have two regions of fundamental functional importance: the anti-codon, which is responsible for specific mRNA codon recognition, and the 3' end, to which the tRNAs corresponding amino acid is attached (by aminoacyl-tRNA synthetases). tRNAs cope with the degeneracy of the genetic code in two manners: having more than one tRNA (with a specific anti-codon) for a particular amino acid; and 'wobble' base-pairing, i.e. permitting non-standard base-pairing at the 3rd anti-codon position. The record is from RNAcentral. Lineage: Bacteria; Pseudomonadati; Pseudomonadota; Gammaproteobacteria; Moraxellales; Moraxellaceae.